Molecule: small nuclear RNA, 189 nt
Organism: Vombatus ursinus (common wombat)
Lineage: Eukaryota; Metazoa; Chordata; Mammalia; Diprotodontia; Vombatidae
Gene: U2
Rfam family: U2 spliceosomal RNA
About the family: U2 is a small nuclear RNA (snRNA) component of the spliceosome (involved in pre-mRNA splicing).
Source: Ensembl
AUUGCUUCUUGACCUUUUCGCUAAGAUCAAGUGUAGUAUCUGUUCUUAUCAGUUUAAUAUCUGAAAUUCCCUAUCCGAGGACAAUAGGUUAAAUGGGUUUUUGGAGCAGGGAGGUGGAAUAGAAGCUUGCUCCAUUCACGCCACAAAUUGACCCGGUAUUGUAGUACUUCUGGGAACGGUGCACUUUCC